This 301-nucleotide ribosomal RNA is filed under the name uncultured bacterium. RNAcentral's name for it is "partial 16S ribosomal RNA". It matches the Rfam family "Bacterial small subunit ribosomal RNA", at positions 509 to 807 of the family's 1533-position model. The record is from RNAcentral.
CAGCCGCCACGGUAAUACGAAGGGUGCAAGCGUUACUCGGAAUUACUGGGCGUAAAGCGUGCGUAGGUGGUGGUUUAAGUCCGUUGUGAAAGCCCUGGGCUCAACCUGGGAAUUGCAGUGGAUACUGGGUCACUAGAGUGUGUCAGAGGAUGGUGGAAUUCCCGGUGUAGCGGUGAAAUGCGUAGAGAUCGGGAGGAACAUCAGUGGCGAAGGCGGCCAUCUGGGACAACACUGACGCUGAGGCACGAAAGCGUGGGGAGCAAACAGGAUUAGAUACCCGCGUAGUCCCUGUCUCUUAUAC